This is a long non-coding RNA of Tachysurus vachellii, 6619 nucleotides long. RefSeq lists it as uncharacterized. The transcript is spliced from 3 exons. The record is from RefSeq and is a predicted model, not a curated record. Lineage: Eukaryota; Metazoa; Chordata; Actinopteri; Siluriformes; Bagridae.
AAACCCGAUUAGAAUGGACCGUCUAUUGUCGCUAAAGAGGAAGAAACCCCGGUUAGACCGGGUGAAAAGCUGAGGGCGAGCAGAACUCUUGUGAAAUAAAUAGUGGCGCUGGGUGAAAGGGGCUCGAGUCGAACCCCUGAAAGUUUGAGACGCUUUGUUCAAAGCUGUAGUCUUAAUUAGGCUACGAAUGAAAUCUGACUGGAUAUGUGAACGUUAUACAUCCAGCAAACAUUUAAUCGCUUAAUAAUAACUCCAUCACCAAACGCACGAAAUCACAACCAUCCUAUUAUCAACAAUAAAAUUCACACUUUCAUCAAUGAACUGUGCAAAAGACGAAGUAAAACUAUUGGCAUGCACUGGAGCUGCUGCCAGUUUGGCCGCUGUAACAGCGCCUAUAUAAUGGGUUGCGCUAUCAUGAUGGAGAGCGGGAAUAAAAUUGAGUUCGAUAGCUUAGACACAGAGGGUGAAGCCUAAUGUUUUGACACUUAAAAGGUGAUUCUGAAUGUUAUUGUUUACCGGUGUUGUUUAAUUGUGAUCCAAUAAGGGCGGAAGUUCCUGCUGUAAUGGCACUGUAAACCGGCUUUUUGUGCAUGAAUACUGAAGCUUGCGCUUCACUACAGGCUUUACAGGCUUAUAAUGUCUGGAUCGGGCUGCCAUCUAGCGUACAGUAGCCAGACAAUUACAGGGAAAUAGCAGUGAAUCAUUUAUUGUUAGCAGGAAUUUCUCAAAAGAUUACUGAGAGAUUUUUUUUAUAGCAUUUAGUGAGAAUUGUUUUUAUUUUUUUUUAAAUGUAUUUUAAAACCCAUCGGCUGUAUUUCCGCAACGCAGAUCAGCGCUAUUGUCUUUGGUAACAUUUGUUAUUCCGAACAUUUGGCAUAAGUUGGAAAUGUGCGCUUAUUAGUUCGGAGGGAUUGUCAUUAAAAUGAUUUUGUAUGUGAUUUAUUUUGUGUAAAAAAAAAACAGUAUUCAGAUAAUACUACAUAUAGAACCUUGUGUAAACCCGUAUGCCGACAAAUUACAGCGAAACACUAUUUCGGAAGUUAGACAUUAAACAGGAUCAGAUCCUCGCUACGCGGUUGUUUCCGUCAGAGUGUUUGCGCCGAGUUUCCCUGCGUGUCUUCUGGAAGCGUUCCGCAAACGCACCGCGCUGCCCUCUGUCCUUAUGAAAAAAGGUGAAACGAACGGGAUUAAAUCAGACAAAGGGCAAACUUCUGUAAGUGUAUCAUCAAGAUUUUACUCGACAGACUAGGAAGAGAGCGAGGGAGAGGCAAGAGAGAGGGAGAGGGGCAGCGAAUGGGAACGCAAGGCGAAGGCAGGGAAACAGCGCGCGAGGACAAGAGAACAGGGAGAAGUGGACACCACUGCAAUGAGACGCCUUUACACUGAAACACCGUUUCCUUCAAUUCCGCUCUUAACACAUAGGUUUGGCUAACAAUGAAACUUGAGCAGCUGCAGGUAUGUCUAUACACACAUGCCCACACACAGUGCAAUAAUAUCAUAAUAAUAUCAGCAACAUAAUACCACUGUUUAUGCAGUAUAGGAGAUUUUGUUGCCCAGGGGCUGCGAUAUUUCUCAUCCAUUUCUACAACGAAGGUACUAAUUUUCACCUGGUGACUUAUAUAGAAAAGCAUAAUUGAAUUACAUUAAAAUAUUGUCUGCUGUAUAACAUUUCAGUGUGUAUACUUUGUAUAUUUAAAUUAUAUUUUGUACGUUUAUGUAUAACACAACAAUAUUACUGUACUGAAUAAACAACCUAUGCUCUUGUCAGAUAGGACCACCUGGAUGCUCUUGCAUUGGUCUUAACCACUGAAUGUCUACAGACUGAGAGGGGCAGUUGAGAAUUUCAGUUUUCCAUCUUUGCCCAUCUUGUCAGUAUUUGAGUGUAAUCAUUCCCUCAUCAUUACUGCCAUGCUGAAAUGUCAUUUUUGGACAAACCACUUGACUAAGUGUGGGCUUUGGACACACUUUCUGUCAUUCUUCGCAUCUGGCAGGCAGAUGAUUGAAUUUGUUCAUGAAAGUGUGUGUGUCCACCUAUACGUACUGUUCCUGCCUCUCUCUGUUCCAGCAUGUUCGUCAUGAAUAUGGAAAGCUGUGGUGACUUAAUGUGACAACUCUGUUAGUUGCAGUCUGUUUCUUAUGAAAAUGCACCAAACUUGCUAACACAAUCAACAGCGAUGAUUGUGUUGUUUAUAAAGAUAACAUGAACUCAAGAAUGCUUCGCUAAGACAUACAUUAAAUAUGUUGGAAUGGGAAUGAUUGUAAAUAUUUUGUCUGAAUCACUGCAUUCUUAAAGCUCUAUUUGUUCUCUCUUAAUGAUGUGUAUUAUCUGUCUGCAAUAUCAGACAUUCUUUCAGCCGUAUAUAUGCAGAAGUCAUAAAAUUGGAGCUCGGAGUGGAUUGAUAAAAUGGCAGACAGUGGAAGAGUUCACACACAUUCAGAAAAAUGUAAAAUAUUGAGCCUUUAAGGGUUUUUAUCUUCAAGGGAACCAUUAAAGUAAAACUCUUUUGGAAGAGUUUGAAACUCUUUUGCUAUCCUAACUAAAAACAUUUGGAGGCUGAGAACCAUAUUAAUAACCAGUACAGACACACACACUGAAAAACAAACACAGGAAGUGCUAUGCCUACAUCUCUGUUUAUGCUCUGUCCUUCUCUCACACUGUACAAUGUGUGUGUCCUCUUUCACCUCUCUGUAUCAGCUCUAUCAGAUCUGAGGAGGAAAGAAUGCAGCAGUCAUUCCUAAACACACACAUUCCUCUAGGCUAGCUUUAUAAUACCCCGGUCUGAAACAUGCAUUGCAACUUUAAUUUUAUGUUAACAUUAAAAAACAAUGCACAAAAUGUAUUUACAGUUGUGUUUUUUGUCAGGCUUCCUGUAUAACAACUGAAUUAUAUUGGAAAUGUGUAUUAAGCGUAGAUACUACCUGUGUAUCAUGUGAGACGUGUAAACUGUAUAAACUAUUAACGGCUGUAAUGUAACUAUAAUGUAAAUACUGACCAUGUUUAUACUGUCCCAGCUGGAUUGCAGUGUAUUUGUAUAAAUGUAUAUAUAUAUAUAUAUAUAUAUAUAUAUAUAUAUAUAUAUAUAUAUAUAUAUAUAUAUAUAAAAUAGUAACUGAAUUUAGCAGUAAAUCCACUAACUUGAAAAAUUUUGCUAAAGGCAAAAGAAAAAGUCAACAGCAUAAAGGAGAUGUAAAGAAAAAAAGAGAUAGAACAAAAAACAAUAUAAUUUUUAAAAAAGGAAAAGAAAGUAAGUAAGAAUAAAGAUAAAUGAACUCAGCCACAUCUUUUAUUAUCCUAAUCAUGACUGCACAGUAUGUGGCUGCUAAAUAUCUCCUCAUAUUCCAAAAUGAUAAUUGGCUUACUUAAUGUUCACUGUUAUCGUUUGAUGCUAAUGUCAUGUCUGACAGAGCAUCAAGAACAAGUAUUAUACCAUUUUGGCCCCUCGUUGUGUCCUGCACUUUUCCUUCUAGGUAUUUGGGAUUUACCCAUGCCAGCGUGAACAAAAGCUGUGCUUCCUCCUCUAUCAGAGCAUGGUUAAAGGUAAGUGGCACCCCCUAUUAGGAUGACAAGGAAAUUAAUGUGUGUCCCCUGGUUCUGUAUUACCUAUUUAUAGGUGAACACCUUUUCCUUUCUUUGGGCAUGUCUGGGCAUUUUGAGAGUACAGGUGAACACCAUAUACACCUGAGAUACAACUGGCAUGAAAGCAGAUAUACAGUCUAUUGUUAAUCUUCAAAAUAUGACUUCAACCUUUAGUGUAAUUGUACAACACUACUGGAGGAAACAUUGUGUAUUUGAAUGAAAUAAAUUGACCACAAGCAUGUACAUCUUGUCGUUUCCUUCGCCCCCCACUCAUUUCUGGAGUCUCCCUUUGUCUGAUAUCACAUGGUUUAUCGAGGGCAUUAUUGUGUACAGCCCUCAAAGGACCAAGAUGCUUCCCUUUGCGGAUCACGUGGCCCGAUCAUGUGUGUAGUUAUGAAUUUCUUAUUGGCUGGCAACAAUGUGGUAUGUAUUACUGGAUUUUUUUAUUGGGUGGGGUGGGGUGUCUAUGGGCAUAACCUUUGUAUAGAAGCAUAGCAAAGCUUUUAACCAUUCGUGGUGCUGAAGGGACCACAGCCCUAAUUUUGUGGGUGAUGACACCUGCCCUUUUCAGCAGGCUGAAGGAGAAGCCAUGGGAAUGCUUGCAUGCAACAGAGGGUCUGAAUGUUGGAACAAUGUGCAUGAAUGUGCUGCCACAUGAACAAUGCAACACCACAUGGUGAGGUGAUGGUGGGUGGAAAAGAGAUCGCUGUUUUCAAUGCCCACCCCCACUGUGAUUCCCCUCUCUCUUUCUCUUUCUCCUCCUGUAUUCCGCUCCUCUUUAGUGGACCUUCCUAUAAAUCUUUCCUGUCAUACCUGUUUUUUGUGCAGUGUGAAUAAGUAAACAGCAAAUCCCAAUGUCCUGCCUUUAAGAGGACACAGCCCAAUAGACACAAGACACACAGGAUACAGGAUUAUGGCCUGUAUCAUGCAGUAGCUGUAUUUAUAAUCUGUCUUUCAUCCCUCUGUGUUCACACACAGGACUAUAGGGUUGCAGCUGUGUGGCAGCUGUCUUUACUGUGUGUCUAGCCUUGUACGUGUGUGUGUGUGUAUGUGUAUGUAUGUGUGUAUGUGUUGUGCCAGAGUGUGUUGUGUGAGCCCUGUCCCUCGGGGCUUUCUCCCUGAGCCCAGACUCUCUGAUUCGGUGUGUAAAAGCGCCUCUGAAUGAUGGAUUACAGUGUCACCGCAGCCUGCGAAGGAUUAAUUUGUUUCAUUGAUUUCUCUUUAGGCAGAAAGCCAGCGUUUGCCGCUUCCCACCUCCUUCCCGGAGACUCCCAGCCGUAAUAGACGGAGCAGAAGUGGAGAGACGCUGGAUUCUGAAGGCCUCACAAUGCGCAUGAACCUUACGAGGAGGCUUGGGCUGCGUCCGAACAAAGCCACAAGCCUGGAAUACUUACAGUUUUCGAUUCAGGAUGGAUUGGUAAUGAUCAUCUGUCUGACUUCUCAGGUUAAUCCUGGUUUUCUAUCUUGUGAUGACUCAGACAAGCAGUUACUCUGUCUUUUACUGGUUUAAAAUUUACUAAAUAAUGUUUAUUGUAGCUACUUGUAUUGGGUAUUUCAUUUUCUGUAAAAUUAAUGGAGCACUGAAUGUAUCACAUGGCACAAAUGUGAACCGAGGUCUAUGUAUGAGGGGGCUGCCUGAAAGGAUGUGGUUGCUGUGUGGCAGACCUGGGCAGAGGAUCAGAGUGCUUGUAAUGCUCUGGCCAGGGCUCCCCAUGUGCUCCCCCAGGGACCUGGAAACAAACACACACACACACACACACACACACACGAACACAGACAGCUGAACAAAUCUUACAUUAUUUGUUGUAAUCUAUCAUAUUUGAAAAUGUCAGACAAGUACAUUUUGCAUAGAUAGAUGACUACAACUCCAUUAUAAAAAAUAUACAUAUUCAUUUAAAUAAGGUUGAAUGAUCAGUACACACUUUAACGGAACCGAUCAUUUUAAAAAGUUUAACACUGAAACUGGUUGGGUUUUAUAGUGGUCAAAAUCAAAGCAGGCCUUUAUAAAAACUACUUUGAAUUCUUAAAGUUAUUAGCUUAUGUAAUUGAUCAUUUGAAUCUAAUGGAGUUAAUCUAAACUUCAGUAACCCAAAAACCUACUGUGGUCCUUGAUGGUGGAUGGUUCAGGAAUAAAAAUCUCUAUGGUUCAGAGAAUUAUGCAUCAUGUUUUUGUAAACGGUAAAAUAAUGAAGCUAAUUUUUGAAUGAUUGGAUUGUGCUUGUGUAAUAUAUUUUACAGUAAAGGGGUCUAUGAGCUUUGCAAUCUAAAUGUAAAUAUUUAGCACAGUAGCAUUCAACAUAUAUUUUAAAUUCCAUACUAAACGUCUGCAUUGUUUUCAGAAAAAAAUCCUUCAUGACAAAUCUAUGAAAACUAAGCCUGAGUCAAUUCUUCCUUCAAUACAGCAAUUUCAGUUUUCCUCUGAUGGACCGAAGUCCUUCAGCUCAGAUGUGUUGGAGGAUUAGGUAAUCUCAAACAUGAUAUUGCUAGCUGCUGGCUUCUCUCUCACCAGGCUGCUGCUGUCAAGUGCUGUGUUCCACUCAUGAAAAACAAUGGUUCUCAGGGGUUCUUACAUCCUUAAGUGGCUCCAGAAAAGGUUAGUCGUCAGGUAAUUGUCCAGCUCUGGUUGGCUUAUCUUAAUCACAGUGCUUGAGCUGCAGCCCAAGCCUCAGUUAUGAAAAAACUAACACUGUUAAGGGGAGGGGCAGCCAGGCAAGGGGUUUACUUUUUAUUUCCUCUUUCUUUUUCUAGCCUCAAAUGCUGAAAUAAUUUGAAUGCAAUUCACAAGGAAUAGCUGAAUAAAUGCAAUGCUGGAAACUAGAAAAACAAUUCUAAAGGUGAAAAUGCUAGAUGAAAAAUAAUGGGUUCCAAGCAAAACAAGCAAGGUGAGGGAAAAAAAUCGUUUUGUCAUGUUUUUUAUGUACAUUGUUUCCACGCUGAGAGAAAACAUUUCAUGUGAGCAGCUGAAGGCUUUGAUACAUCAGCUGCUGUGUCACUGCUAAAGAGAGAUAAGAUGCAUACACCAUCCAUAAAACGAUGUUCGCU